UUCCAGAGGGAUAGCUCAGUUGGUAGAGAAUCAGACUCUUAAUCUCAGGGGCAUGGGUUUGAGCUCCACGUCGGGCAAAA
Non-coding RNA from Podarcis lilfordi (Lilford's wall lizard), 80 nucleotides. Lineage: Eukaryota; Metazoa; Chordata; Lepidosauria; Squamata; Lacertidae. The record is from the annotation of a GenBank genome assembly.